UUCCUGCAGAUUUUCAAGUUUUGUUGAAUA
Molecule: non-coding RNA, 30 nt
Filed under: Rattus norvegicus (Norway rat)
Lineage: Eukaryota; Metazoa; Chordata; Mammalia; Rodentia; Muridae
Source: RNAcentral